UUUAACUGAGCGUUCAGUUACUUGACGUAGACCCGAAACCGGGCGACCUACCCAUGAGCAGGAUGAAGCGAAAGUAAAAUUUCGUGGAGGUCCGAACCCACGAGCGUUGAAAAGCUCGGGGAUGACUUGUGGGUAGCGGUGAAAUUCCAAUCGAGCCCGGAGAUAGCUGGUUCUCCCCGAAAUAGCUUUAGGGCUAGCCUCAAGGUGAGAGAUACGGAGGUAGAGCACUGAAUGUCCUAGGGGGUAUUGCACCUACCGAAGACUAUCAAACUCCGAAUGCCGUCAUCUUAUACUUGGGAGUCAGACUGUGGGUGAUAAGAUUCAUAGUCGAAAGGGCAACAGCCCAGAUCGUCAGCUAAGGUCCCUAAAUGUAAGUUAAGUGGUAAAGGAUGUGGGAUUGCACAGACAACCAGGAUGUUGGCUUAGAAGCAGCCACUCAUUCAAAGAGUGCGUAAUAGCUCACUGGUCGAGUGAUCCUGCGCCGAAGAUUUCCGGGGCUAAAACUUACUACCGAAGCUACGGCAUCAGUAAUGAU
RNAcentral lists this ribosomal RNA (535 nucleotides) under Clostridioides difficile. RNAcentral describes it as "partial 23S ribosomal RNA". It matches the Rfam family "Bacterial large subunit ribosomal RNA", at positions 683 to 1225 of the family's 2925-position model. Lineage: Bacteria; Bacillati; Bacillota; Clostridia; Peptostreptococcales; Peptostreptococcaceae. The record is from RNAcentral.